CGGUGAUAUUUAUAUCAUAGUGGCGCACGGGUGCGUAACACGUAUGCAACCUACCUAUUAUUGGGGGAUAGCCUUUGGAAACGGAGAUUAAUACCGCAUAAUACGAUUAACUGGCAUCGGUUGAUUGUUAAAGCAUUUGCGAUAAUAGAUGGGCAUGCGUCCAAUUAGUUAGUUGGUGUGGUAAUGGCUCACCAAGACGAUGAUUGGUAGGGGAUCUGAGAGGAUAAUCCCCCACACUGGCACUGAGAUACGGGCCAGACUCCUACGGGAGGCAGCAGUAGGGAAUAUUGGGCAAUGAGCGAAAGCCUGACCCAGCCAUGCCGCGUGCAGGAAGACGGCGUUAUGCGUUGUAAACUGCUUUUUUAUAGGAAGAAGGAUCCCUUGCGAGGGAAGGUGACGGUACUAUAAGAAUAAGCACCGGCUAACUCCGUGCCAGCAGCCGCGGUAAUACGGAGGGUGCAAGCGUUGUCCGGAUUUAUUGGGUUUAAAGGGUGCGUAGGCGGUUUAUUAAGUCAGUGGUGAAAGACGGUCGCUCAACGAUUGCAGUGCCAUUGAUACUGGUAGACUUGAGUGAGAUUGAGGUAGCUGGAAUGGAUAGUGUAGCGGUGAAAUGCAUAGAUAUUAUCCAGAACACCGAUUGCGAAAGCAGGUUACUAAGUCUUAACUGACGCUGAG
RNAcentral lists this ribosomal RNA (675 nucleotides) under uncultured bacterium. Its description in RNAcentral is "bacterial SSU rRNA". It matches the Rfam family "Bacterial small subunit ribosomal RNA", at positions 67 to 750 of the family's 1533-position model. The record is from RNAcentral.